Homo sapiens (human) is the source of this 1215-nucleotide long non-coding RNA. RefSeq annotates it as long independently transcribed non-coding RNA 3100. The transcript has a single exon. The record is from RefSeq and is marked validated. NCBI's taxonomy places the organism in Eukaryota, Metazoa, Chordata, Mammalia, Primates, Hominidae.
GUAGUAGGCACUGCCCCGCCGUCCGCGCGCGCCCAGAGUGCCGGGCGUGGAGGUGUGGGGGCGCGGGGGCGCGGGGGCGCGGGGGCGCGGGGGGGCGGGGGCGGGGGGGCGCAGGGACGGGCGCGGUCAGUGCCUGAGAUCCCUGCGAUCGCUGGGAGAUGACGGUGAAGACCUGAGAUUUAGGCCUGCGCGGCGGGUGACGACGCCGGUCCGGGUCUUCACUGGAGGACGCUGGCCGGGGCCUUCAGGUGUUCUCGUGGCCUGAGGACGCGCGUCCCUGAGAAUGUGCGUGCCCGCGCCGCGCGGGUCCCACAGGAGCCUGGGCAGCCCCGCCGCCGCAUUUCCACCCUGCGGCCGUAUUUCCACCCGCUGGGCGCCAAGCCCGGGAUGACUGCACUCUAGGGCAUCACUGCGCGCUCACACUCAGCAUUCAGGCACAAGCACGUUCUCUUUAUAAACAGUUUCGAAUCUUGUCGAGUCUUUCUAGAAGGUUGAAAUGCCCUGGAGGAGCAGCGUGAAUAGUUUUUUCCAAUUAGGAAAAAAGAAUGUGGGGCGGCUGGAGGGAGAGAGGCAGGCCGAGAAGGCCAGGUGCGUCCAGGAGCCGCAGCCCCCGUGCCUCAGUUUCCUCCUAGAAACAUGGAGGUGGCGGUGCACGCUACAGGAUUUCUGUAAGAACAGAUGAGUUAACGUGUGCAAAACAUUUAAAACAGUGUCUGGUGUGUAGCAAGCAAAUAUGAGUAUUAGUCUUUUCCUUGUUAAAAUGUGUGCAUCUACAUUUGGUGCACAUUACAGGAAGUGUAUAGUAUGGAUUCAUAUUUUGGAAAAGUAAUUUUAGAAGUUAUUUCUGAUGUGCUUAUUGUAAUAGUGUUUCUUGACCACAUGCUUUUAGAUAAUGUGAAGGCAAUGAAGCAGGCAAUAUUGCUUGCACAUCCCCAAUUUAAACACCUGUCUGUCCCUCCUUCCCUCUCUCCUUUCUUUUCUUCCUUACCCUCUCUCUUUAUUCCUUCCUUCAUUCCCUUCAAGGUUGCGGAUUAUUCCAUUAUAUAAAUGUAUCAAUUUAUUAGAAUAGUUUCUAUGAUGUCUAUGAUGGGCUUUAGAUUGUUUGCAAUAGUUUGCCAUUACAAAUAAUGCCCAGUAGUGCUGUGGUUUGAUUUAACUUGUGAAGGUAUAUUUCCAAAUAAAUCGCUAUGAUUGGAUUGUUGUGUAAACCAAAAA